This 650-nucleotide unclassified non-coding RNA is filed under the name Hevea brasiliensis (rubber tree). The record is from RNAcentral. Lineage: Eukaryota; Viridiplantae; Streptophyta; Magnoliopsida; Malpighiales; Euphorbiaceae.
CCCCAUUCGAUGGUUCAUAGCGAUUGAUUCAAGUCCUAAACAGCCAAAACAAUCUAUCAAACAUCAAAAUUACCUUCAUGUCCUCCCACUUGUAACAAGAAAGGCAAAAGAAAGCGAGCACAAGAGGAUCUGUUAAUCGAAGAAGAUGGCAUCCUACCCUUUCGUCACAGCUUUAAGCACUCCAAGACGAGAAACGUCGAUCCUUCCUUCAUCUUUCUCGACGCCAUCUGACGCUUAUUGUAAAGUUUUCCUCGAUUCACUUGCCUUAAAGAGGAGUGAAAGUAAGGCAGCUAAUAUGAAUCUGAGGGUGCGAGCGAUGGGAGGAGCACCAAAGUUCAAGGGGACGCAGAUGAGGGAGAAGCAGCUUACGGAGAUGAUAGAGAAGAAGGUAAUGGAAGCGAAGGAGGUGUGCGAGGGAGACCAGACCUCCGACGAGUGCAAGGUGGCAUGGGAUGAGGUGGAAGAGGUGAGCCAAGCCAAGGCCGAUUUCAGGCUUAAGUUGGAGAAACAGGAUCCUCUCGAGUAUUUCUGUCAGGACAAUCCAGAGACCGAUGAGUGUCGAGUCUACGAAGACUAGCCACCCAACUAUGAGCCACCACCGUCCCCCUGAUCCUGAUGAUCGAAAUGUAGUAUUAGUGUUGCUUGGGCUU